Molecule: ribosomal RNA, 253 nt
Filed under: uncultured bacterium
Lineage: Bacteria
Description: partial 16S ribosomal RNA
Rfam family: Bacterial small subunit ribosomal RNA
Source: RNAcentral
UACGUAGGCAGCAAGCGUUGUUCGGAAUUACUGGGCGUAAAGAGUGUGUAGGCGGUGUUCUAAGUCUGUUGUGAAAUCUCCCGGCUUAACUGGGAGGGUGCGGCGGAGACUGGAAUGCUAGAGUGUGGGAGAGGUAAGCGGAAUUCCAGGUGUAGCGGUGAAAUGCGUAGAUAUCUGGAGGAACACCGGUGGCGAAGGCGGCAUCCUGGACCAAUAUUGACGCUGAGGAGCGAAAGCUAGGGGAGCAAACGGG